GAUUCAGUCCCCAAGAAUAUUGAACAAGAGGAUCGCGCAGAACCUUUGCACGCGCGGAUAUUGCAAGACAUAUUAGAGUGACUUGCACUCUAUCUGUGGCGGCAUAUAUAUGCAAAUUCAUUCUCUGCCAGCAGGACGCGCUGUUGGAGUGGUUCAGUCCUUUGGGACGAGGACGACUGUCAUAUAAGGCAAAUUGUCAAGUUAAGUCUGCUCAGCUGGUGGUGGAGCUCUGGAUGAUGCCCCACAACCACAUGCCACAGGGAUUUCAAGCCUUCGAAGAAUGCACACAUGCCGUCUAGGGGUGCAGAUGCAGUGACAAACCCUCCAAUGGAGCAGUCCUUUCUGUGUGCCAAAUAACAAGGGAUUUAUACCUCUGUAACUCAUCACCAGCCCAGAGCCCAGACACACAGACUCAGGGAUUCAGAGUUCACUGGGCAGGGAUGAGACAGCGGCCUGCAUUCAUUUACAAGAUUUGCACAUGCACAAUUGUAAAGACCCUCAGAUGAGCAAGAACAGUGGCUGACAGUAAGCCCUGAAGCUACUCGGAGAGGAACUGUAAUUAGAUCAUAAGUAUUCCAUGUCUUUUUGGUAUAUUUGGAAUGGCGGCACCAAAAAGGCAUGUUGUUUUGUGAGCCCCAUGUUAUCUAAUAAGGGACUGAUUGGCAGCACAGCUGGCUGACAGACAAAAGUGGCUGCACUGGACCUGUCACAUGUGACAUGAAACGAAAUGAAUAAAGGAAUAAAACAAACAAACA
Long non-coding RNA from Cyprinus carpio (common carp), 755 nucleotides. NCBI's taxonomy places the organism in Eukaryota, Metazoa, Chordata, Actinopteri, Cypriniformes, Cyprinidae. The record is from Ensembl.